GUAGGUGAACCUGCGGAAGNAUAUU
Molecule: ribosomal RNA, 25 nt
Filed under: cf. Tuber sp. EC261 B293
Lineage: Eukaryota; Fungi; Ascomycota; Pezizomycetes; Pezizales; Tuberaceae
Description: partial 18S ribosomal RNA
Source: RNAcentral